AUAAAGAUAGGUUAUUAAAACCGUUGAGCUGUGGAUUCAGAAAUGU
Molecule: transfer RNA, 46 nt
Filed under: Amynthas gracilis
Lineage: Eukaryota; Metazoa; Annelida; Clitellata; Crassiclitellata; Megascolecidae
Description: tRNA-His
Source: RNAcentral